UCUCACUAUCUUGUCUUUCAUG
Molecule: microRNA, 22 nt
Filed under: Dinoponera quadriceps
Lineage: Eukaryota; Metazoa; Arthropoda; Insecta; Hymenoptera; Formicidae
Description: dqu-miR-71-3p
Gene: dqu-miR-71-3p
Source: miRBase by way of RNAcentral